Molecule: ribosomal RNA, 492 nt
Filed under: uncultured bacterium
Lineage: Bacteria
Description: partial 16S ribosomal RNA
Rfam family: Bacterial small subunit ribosomal RNA
Source: RNAcentral
AGUGAACGCUGGCGGCAGGCCUAACACAUGCAAGUCGAACGGCAGCACAGUAAGAGCUUGCUCCUACGGGUGGCGAGUGGCGGACGGGUGACGAAUACAUCGCAAUCUUCUUUUUCUUGGAGGAUAACGUAGGGAAACUUCUGCUAAUACCGCAUAUGAUCUACGGGAUAAAGCAGUGGAGCUUGGGAGCUUUCGUGUCUCAAAGAGCCGGUGUCGGAUUAGCUAGUUGGCGGGGUAACGGCCCACCAAGGCGACGAUCCGUAGCUGACCUGAGAGAAUGAUCAGCCACACUGGAACUGAGACACGGUCCAGACUCCUACGGGAGGCAGCAGUAGGGAAUAUUGGGCAAUGGGCGAAAGCCUGAUGCAGCCACACCGCGUGAGUGAAGAAGGCCUUCGGAUUGUAAAGCCCUUUUAUUAGGAAAGAAAAGCAGCGGAUUAAUCCCCCGCUGUUCUGACGGUACCCAAAGAAUAAGCACCGGCUAACUUCGUG